UACGAAGGGGGCUAGCGUUGUUCGGAAUUACUGGGCGUAAAGCGUGCGCAGGCGGCUUCUCAAGUCAGGGGUGAAAGCCCAGAGCUCAACUCUGGAAUUGCCUUUGAGACUGAGUGGCUUGAGUACGAGAGAGGUGAGUGGAAUUCCCAGUGUAGAGGUGAAAUUCGUAGAUAUCGGGAGGAACACCAGUGGCGAAGGCGGCGACCUGGGCCAAUAUUGACGCUGAGGUGCGAAAGCGUGGGGAGCAAACAGG
This 253-nucleotide ribosomal RNA is filed under the name uncultured bacterium. RNAcentral's name for it is "partial 16S ribosomal RNA". It matches the Rfam family "Bacterial small subunit ribosomal RNA", at positions 524 to 776 of the family's 1533-position model. The record is from RNAcentral.